ACUUUAAAAGUUUACUCGGGCCGGGACGCAGGGCAAAGCGAGCCAUGGCUGUCUACGUCGGGAUGCUGCGCCUGGGGAGGCUGUGCGCCGGGAGCUCGGGGGUGCUGGGGGCCCGGGCCGCCCUCUCUCGGAGUUGGCAGGAAGCCAGGUUGCAGGGUGUCCGCUUCCUCAGUUCCAGAGAGGUGGAUCGCAUGGUCUCCAUGCCCAUCGGAGGCCUCAGCUAUGUUCAGGGGUGCACCAAAAAGCAUCUUAACAGCAAGACUGUGGGCCAGUGCCUGGAGACCACAGCACAGAGGGUCCCAGAACGAGAGGCCUUGGUCGUCCUCCAUGAAGACGUCAGGUUGACCUUUGCCCAACUCAAGGAGGAGGUGGGUCCUGACCUGGAAACCUCAAAGUGGACAAGUACUAGCUCCCAAGCUGCCCUAGCUGGGCAGAACCAGGAGCGUGGGCACCUGGCUAUGGGGCAAUGUGCUAGGGCUGCCAGAGAACCCCAAGGGAUGGCAGGAGAAGGAGACAGGACUGAGGCAUAAGGGGUCCAAUGCUU
This 544-nucleotide small RNA is filed under the name Pan troglodytes (chimpanzee). Its description in RNAcentral is "retained intron". The record is from RNAcentral. Lineage: Eukaryota; Metazoa; Chordata; Mammalia; Primates; Hominidae.